UUCGGGGUGAUUGCUUUGUGACUGAGUGGCGGACGGGUGAGUAACGCGUGGGUAACCUGCCUCAUACAGGGGGAUAACAGCUGGAAACGGCUGCUAAUACCGCAUAAGCGCACAGCUUCGCAUGAAGCAGUGUGAAAAACUCCGGUGGUACAAGAUGGACCCGCGUCUGAUUAGCUGGUUGGAGGGGUAACGGCCCACCAAGGCGACGAUCAGUAGCCGGUCUGAGAGGAUGAACGGCCACAUUGGUACUGAGACACGGACCAAACUCC
Molecule: ribosomal RNA, 269 nt
Filed under: uncultured Eubacteriales bacterium
Lineage: Bacteria; Bacillati; Bacillota; Clostridia; Eubacteriales
Description: uncultured Clostridiales bacterium partial 16S ribosomal RNA
Rfam family: Bacterial small subunit ribosomal RNA
Source: RNAcentral